Molecule: non-coding RNA, 4805 nt
Organism: Cherax quadricarinatus
Lineage: Eukaryota; Metazoa; Arthropoda; Malacostraca; Decapoda; Parastacidae
Source: RefSeq, a predicted model, not a curated record
CUACCACCUCGCGCUUCUCCCUCGAUUAUAACACGCGAAAUAUCGCUCUACGAGCAUCAUUUCGCUGCUCAGUCAAUUACAUCUCGUGGUUAACUAUUACAUUUCGCGAUCUGUCGAGACUAUAUUCAUUUACGGUUGAAACAGAGCGUUUAAAUGAAAUAUUUACUUUUCCGGUGGCGUGAGUUGGUCGGUCAGCUGGCGGCCAGGGGCGUGGCUUAACCUUCCGAGGUUAUAAAUAAAGGCGCGGCGCGUUUUUGGGGUAGUUAGUAGAGGUCCAUCGUAGGUGCCGCACGUGUCACUCCAGCAGGAUGUCGGCCACCACCACACAGCGUCUGGUGCCUAUCCGGCCGUCGCCCCACAAGAGCCUGACUGUCCCAAAGACCGUCACGGUGAUCACCACAGCCGGCUCCCCGGCCACCCUCACGCCGCCCAAGACCGGGAUUAAACGGAAGCUGUCGGAGACUAGCCCCGAUCCGGUGAAGUGCAAGAGACGUAUCAACUUCGGCGUCGGAUACGUCGUGUCGCCAGCGCCUGUGGCUGUGGCGCGGCGCAACGCGCGCGAGAGGAACCGGGUGAAGCAGGUCAACAACGGCUUCGCCACCCUCCGUCAGCACAUCCCCGGCGCCGCCAAAGCCAAGAAAAUCAGCAAGGUGGAGACGCUGAAGCAGGCAGUGGACUACAUCAGGUCACUUCAGGAGCUACUGGAGGACCAUGACUCUCUGAUGCGCCAUACCAACUCCAUCGUCGUGACCUCUGCGCAGUCCCCGGCGCCCAGGGCACAGUCUCUGCCCUACACCAACGCCGUUGCCCCUACCCAGUCCCAGUACCGCCUUAUCCAGUACCCCAGUUAUUACUACAGCGAGAACGUCUCUCCCGUGGCUGCGUCAGUGUACCCCAUGAGCGUGGCGUCAGUCUCCCCGACGUGCAGCGACGCCGCAGCCUCCCCAACGCCGUCCUACGACUCGGCUUUCUCUUCGGCGGAGGCGGUGACGACGGUGGGCAGCGUGACGGACGUGUUCUCCCCCGUCACCGUCACCACCACCACCAGCACCACCACCUCCCUGCCGGACACACUCGACGUCCUAGAUACCUACGACCCGGCCACCUCACCCGAAGACGAGGAAUUGCUCGACGCCAUCGCCCUCUGGCAGCAGUGUCAGUAGCAGAUGCUACAAAGGGAAACAUCUAGUCAUGCUUUUCUAUCAUCGUGCACUACUGGUCAAUUUCUCCAGUCCGGCAGCAAAGUUUCAGAGUGGUAUGUGAGAGUCGACGACGCUUCCAACAUCUCUCUCUCCAGGUCUACUCCCUUUCUUCCUUCAGUCCUACGGGAGAACCUCAUAUCUGUGCCUUCGCUAGUCUGCUACUGAACUGUGGUGUUCGCCACAACUUCAGGAAAGCAGAAAAACACCGGUUUGUCGCUGAGUCAUCAGCCGUGGAUGUUCGCUACCAGAUGCCCUUCCUUCAAACAGCCUAUUUCAUCACUGUCGUCAGGAAGGUCUCGUGAAGUCAUACGUCUCGUCUCUCACAUGUCCAGGAAAGCCCCCCGGUCUCUAGAUGAGGUCUAGUAUGAUGUCUCGAAGAUGGCAAUGAAGUAUUAUAUAAAAAAGCAGAUAACUAAUGUCGAAGGAAUGUCUCCCAGAGACUCCCUAAAUCCUUAUAUAAUAUUCAGGGCGUCCCGACCGAGUCCUGAUGAGCUUACUGAUACCAGAGAGUCCAGCCAACUCGCGAAAGGAGAAGAAAGGGGGGCUGCCCACUUUCUAAUGCUAAUAAUAACCGGCACACGAAACAAAUCCACAGAGUAAACCCGUGCCAGAAGACAAGAAAAGAUAAAGAGAAUAAGAAAAGCGAGUAGAGGAAGUAGAAGGGAGGAAGAAAGGCAGUGACCACGUAGGGAGACAGUGAGAGACGGAGUACAAACUGGCCUAUCAGGAAAACAGAAGCAUAACAGGACAUGAAGCCACGACGAAGGAAAACAUCAGACAUCUUGUAGUCUGAGAAGACCCCGGAAUGGUCUGAGAAGACCAAGGAUGGUUUAAGGGACCAGGAAUUAUCUGAACCGGGGACGGUCUGAUGAGACACUAAUCUACCCAACACCAGUAGUUUCAAGCAGAAUCUUCUCCAAAGAAAGCAUGGCAAGAUUUACUCAAAGAAUAAGACAUUAUAGCAUUUACGUACUCGUGGGUUGAAAGCAUUUUAUAAUAUAUAUUAUACAGCAUAUAUUUCCGUGGGAUGGGGUGGGGGUGGGAAGGCUUGUGAAUGUCUAGUCAAAAGUGCAGCAGAGCCUAAAGAAGACAUAAUUUACUUACGCCAAAGCUUCUUCAUGGGUGGUGGUGUCCAGGCUGUGUCUGCCUGCCUGCCUGCCUGCCUGUCUGUCUGUCUGUCUGUAAAUGGCCCUUCGAGGCCCCUACAAUUUCUAAUUUUACAGCAGUAAUGCUAUUCCUUACAUUAAGAAAUCCAACAUCAUGGCGACGUCGGUUAUACUAGUUAAGGGUUUGGAUAUAUCAACAAGCCGUAGCUGAUGAAAGAACUCGAGCAGCAAUUGGAAACUUUACUAGAGCUAUGUUUCUUUUGCAGAGCAGGCGAAACGUAGUCUUAUUACAGCUUACAAUUGCUGCUUGCUUGAGUUUAUCUAUCGGGGCGUUAUUUGGCCCUUGCUAAUAUGGAUGCAAGUUGAUCUCUUCCGUCUGACAGAGAUAUGGUGACGAGUAAUGCAGUUUAUCCUACGACAGCAGGCAAGCACUGACGGUCGUAGCAGUGUAGAAAUUGUCUAAGAUACUUUUGAUGAGAAAUAUUUUAUGUCGAAGCGCCAGAGAGACAAUUUCUACACUGCUACCCUACACCCAGAGGAACUAAAGAGUUAGCACGACAAAUUGUAUGUAAUAAUCUCAAGGUCUCGUUGAAGCCACGACGAGUCUCAGCCUAUUUUUAUAUCUUAAUCUUAAGCCAAAAAGCUAACAGUAUCAUAACAUGAAGACAUAUAACAAUCAUACAUACACACGCACACACAAUAUAUACAUAAUUUUAUUCAAAGUUGAUUCUCCUAAUUCCCUCCAUGUUGCUAAAACAAAAAUAUGUUAUUAGCUUUGUAACCCAUGCAGUGUGACUUUCCAAGUCCACCAGAUGUCGUAAAUAAAAGACAGCUGACUACCUUAGUGCCUUACGACCCUAAAGUCGGUUUCAUACAUUGCUUCCAAUUACUACUUAUGUGCCUUUUAAUGCCUUAUAAUUGUUAACUAACUCCAUGAGUAUUAUUGUAAUAUAACUUUUUAUAAUAUAUCGGUGAUCUCUUUUUUUUUGAUAUAUGAUUAUAGUCUAGUUGUUAUGGACAGUUUUCACUAAAAACAAUAUUGUGAUCUCCUUUGAUGCUGUCAUUGCUCAAGUGUCUUUGAGACACGUGAAGUUCUUAUUCGUAAAAAGACUCAAACAGUAUUUUAUUUAAUGUUAAGCAUGUGUGUAUCUUGCCUAUGGAAACCUGGGUAUGUACACUGGUAUCUCUCAGUGAGUAUAAAGAAAUACACUUAGAUGACAAGAGACAGAUGAUAUCUUGAUUUAAUAUCCGUUGUAACCACAGUGAAGAGCAGUGUUAUUAAUUCCACGAGCUUUCGUGAUCCCUCACAUGAAGGAAUAACAAAAGUAUUUGGAGUAUUGCUUUUUUUCACUUUGGUUAUAUGACAUAUGAAGGGAUGUGUUUCGUCUUGUGUAUCUCCCAGUGUAUAUAUAUACACCGAGAGGUGUAUAGUACCUCCAAGUGUGUGUGUAUAUAUACCGAGAGGUUUGUCUGUUUAUAUAAAUUGACAGAGGCGCAUCUCUGUGUAUAUACGCCAAGAUGUAUGCACCUUUGUGAAUAUACAAUGAGAAGUUGCUUUAAUCCUUGUCUAAGUGAUUACAGUGUCCUUAAUUAUUAUUUAGGAAAAUUGCGGCCUUAAUAACAGCCGGGUGGUCGACAGGCCUUAAACAUCAGUACAGAAAAGACACAGGUUGUUGAAGAGGCCCUCGCUGAGACAGCGUUUAGAUCUGUGAAGGUUUUUAUCUACCCACAACUUUAUAAUGCUCUACACAGCGAAACACUGUCCCAAUAAACGCUAGUUCUACAACCUGUAUCUCUUCCACACUACUGUUGGCAGGACGUCAACUGGGUUAGGCUGCACUCUAACACAUCAUCGAACCCAACUGUUCAGUAUUUCUGAGGUAUCAAUGGUUCAAUAAGAGAGCAUCUCACCUCAUACAAACUGCAUAGAAAAUAAGGAAGUAUGUUCUUUGUGGGCAUUUACACACACACACACACACACACACACACACACACACACACACACACACACACACACACACACACACACAACCAGUACAAGGUUGGCACACAGCCUCUUCAAAGUAUUUCAAAAAAAAAUCUAUAUCACACACAUGUGCAUACACGGCUUGUGUACAUUUAUGUAUGACAAUUCCGUCACGUCUAAUCCUGGUAUGCAAUUUCCAUACACAUUCCAUGUAUAUAUACAAACAUUCCUCUAAGCACAUUCCAUGUUUGCUUGGACCGUAUCCAGUGGUACGUUUAUGUAUAAUUAUUGUUGAAAUAUUUUUAUCAUGUUAAUUGUACCCACCAACUGUUCUCGUCUCUGGUAUAUCUCCUACCCUCGGCAGUAUGAGCCUACUGUGUAUAUCCUACGGGCUUUGCGCUUUCCUCACGAAUAUACCAAGAGGUGACAGGGGCCUACUGCAGAGCGUAAGGCUCAAUAUACCUCAAUGUUUCCGUACAUCGGUGUUAAGUGCACUUAUGCUUGUUAAGUUUCAAGCUACUUUGUGUAUAU